GGAGGACGCUCACCACUUUGUGGUUCAUGACUGGGGUGAAGUCGUAACAAGGUAGCCCUAGGGGAACCUGGGGCUGGAUCACCUCCUUAUACGAUGAU
RNAcentral lists this ribosomal RNA (98 nucleotides) under Vibrio breoganii. Its description in RNAcentral is "partial 16S ribosomal RNA". It matches the Rfam family "Bacterial small subunit ribosomal RNA", at positions 1445 to 1533 of the family's 1533-position model. The record is from RNAcentral. Lineage: Bacteria; Pseudomonadati; Pseudomonadota; Gammaproteobacteria; Vibrionales; Vibrionaceae.